GAUCAUGGCUCAGAUUGAACGCUGGCGGCAGGCCUAACACAUGCAAGUCGAGCGGUAACACAGGGAGCUUGCUCCUGGGUGACGAGCGGCGGACGGGUGAGUAAUGUCUGGGAAACUGCCCGAUGGAGGGGGAUAACUACUGGAAACGGUAGCUAAUACCGCAUAAUGUCGCAAGACCAAAGAGGGGGGACCUUCGGGCCUCUUGCCAUCAGAUGUGCCCAGAUGGGAUUAGCUAGUAGGG
RNAcentral lists this ribosomal RNA (241 nucleotides) under uncultured bacterium. RNAcentral's name for it is "partial 16S ribosomal RNA". It matches the Rfam family "Bacterial small subunit ribosomal RNA", at positions 15 to 253 of the family's 1533-position model. The record is from RNAcentral.